AAUAAAGAUCAAUAACUCCGAUCUUGAAUUGAAGGAUCCGAUCAUUCUUUUUUAGGACGUCGUUCGAUUUUGACCGUUCAUUUUAUGCCCACUUGAUGGACUUUAUUAUAAUUUCGAAAAUUUACGAAAUUUAUUUUCUAGAAGUUUCAAAUACUCUAGAUCAUAUUUAACGGAGUGGAUCGUCGAUUCAGAAGCUCCAUCAUUGAAAAUAACUUAUGAGUACGAAGGCUCCAAUACUCAUAAUAGUAUAGUAGCCAUGGCCUAUAUAUAUAUAUAGAGAGAGAGAGAGAGAGAGAGUAGGAAAUUGCCUUUACAUGUGGAA
Molecule: long non-coding RNA, 322 nt
Filed under: Ananas comosus (pineapple)
Lineage: Eukaryota; Viridiplantae; Streptophyta; Magnoliopsida; Poales; Bromeliaceae
Description: long non-coding RNA (ACOM_LNC014272)
Source: RNAcentral